UAGAGGAGUCAGGGCCAGGAGCCCCCCCCUGAGCCCAGGAUAACACUGCAAGUCGGGGGGCA
Molecule: non-coding RNA, 62 nt
Organism: Cricetulus griseus (Chinese hamster)
Lineage: Eukaryota; Metazoa; Chordata; Mammalia; Rodentia; Cricetidae
Source: Rfam